RNAcentral lists this transfer RNA (69 nucleotides) under Dicrostonyx groenlandicus (northern collared lemming). RNAcentral describes it as "tRNA-Gly". It matches the Rfam family "tRNA". Rfam says of the family: Transfer RNA (tRNA) molecules are approximately 80 nucleotides in length. Their secondary structure includes four short double-helical elements and three loops (D, anti-codon, and T loops). Further hydrogen bonds mediate the characteristic L-shaped molecular structure. tRNAs have two regions of fundamental functional importance: the anti-codon, which is responsible for specific mRNA codon recognition, and the 3' end, to which the tRNAs corresponding amino acid is attached (by aminoacyl-tRNA synthetases). tRNAs cope with the degeneracy of the genetic code in two manners: having more than one tRNA (with a specific anti-codon) for a particular amino acid; and 'wobble' base-pairing, i.e. permitting non-standard base-pairing at the 3rd anti-codon position. Lineage: Eukaryota; Metazoa; Chordata; Mammalia; Rodentia; Cricetidae. The record is from RNAcentral.
ACUUUCUUAGUAUAAUCAGUACAUCUGACUUCCAAUCAGACAGCUCUGGCCCAAACCUAGAAGAAAGUA